This 639-nucleotide ribosomal RNA is filed under the name uncultured Arthrobacter sp. Its description in RNAcentral is "bacterial SSU rRNA". It matches the Rfam family "Bacterial small subunit ribosomal RNA", at positions 209 to 854 of the family's 1533-position model. The record is from RNAcentral. Lineage: Bacteria; Bacillati; Actinomycetota; Actinomycetes; Micrococcales; Micrococcaceae.
CUUUUUGUGGUUUUGGAUGAACUCGCGGCCUAUCAGCUUGUUGGUGGGGUAAUGGCCUACCAAGGCGACGACGGGUAGCCGGCCUGAGAGGGUGACCGGCCACACUGGGACUGAGACACGGCCCAGACUCCUACGGGAGGCAGCAGUGGGGAAUAUUGCACAAUGGGCGAAAGCCUGAUGCAGCGACGCCGCGUGAGGGAUGACGGCCUUCGGGUUGUAAACCUCUUUCAGUAGGGAAGAAGCCCUUCGGGGUGACGGUACUUGCAGAAGAAGCGCCGGCUAACUACGUGCCAGCAGCCGCGGUAAUACGUAGGGCGCAAGCGUUAUCCGGAAUUAUUGGGCGUAAAGAGCUCGUAGGCGGUUUGUCGCGUCUGCUGUGAAAGACCGGGGCUCAACUCCGGUUCUGCAGUGGGUACGGGCAGACUAGAGUGCAGUAGGGGAGACUGGAAUUCCUGGUGUAGCGGUGAAAUGCGCAGAUAUCAGGAGGAACACCGAUGGCGAAGGCAGGUCUCUGGGCUGUAACUGACGCUGAGGAGCGAAAGCAUGGGGAGCGAACAGGAUUAGAUACCCUGGUAGUCCAUGCCGUAAACGUUGGGCACUAGGUGUGGGGGACAUUCCACGUUUUCCGCGCCGUAGCUU